UACAGAGGGUGCGAGCGUUGUUCGGAAUUAUUGGGCGUAAAGGGCGCGUAGGCGGUGCGGUAAGUCACCUGUGAAAUCUCCUGGCUCAACUGGGAGUCUGCAGGCGAAACUGCCGUGCUGGAGUGUGGGAGAGGUGAGUGGAAUUCCCGGUGUAGCGGUGAAAUGCGUAGAUAUCGGGAAGGAACACCUAUGGCGAAAGCGGCUCACUGGACCACAACUGACGCUGAGGCGCGAAAGCUAGGGGAGCAAACAGG
RNAcentral lists this ribosomal RNA (254 nucleotides) under uncultured bacterium. Its description in RNAcentral is "partial 16S ribosomal RNA". It matches the Rfam family "Bacterial small subunit ribosomal RNA", at positions 524 to 776 of the family's 1533-position model. The record is from RNAcentral.